RNAcentral lists this ribosomal RNA (473 nucleotides) under uncultured bacterium. RNAcentral describes it as "partial 16S ribosomal RNA". It matches the Rfam family "Bacterial small subunit ribosomal RNA", at positions 355 to 820 of the family's 1533-position model. The record is from RNAcentral.
UAGGGAAUCUUCCACAAUGGACGCAAGUCUGAUGGAGCAACGCCGCGUGAGUGAAGAAGGUUUUCGGAUCGUAAAGCUCUGUUGUUGGUGAAGAAGGAUAGAGGCAGUAACUGGUCUUUAUUUGACGGUAAUCAACCAGAAAGUCACGGCUAACUACGUGCCAGCAGCCGCGGUAAUACGUAGGUGGCAAGCGUUGUCCGGAUUUAUUGGGCGUAAAGCGAGCGCAGGCGGAAUGAUAAGUCUGAUGUGAAAGCCCACGGCUCAACCGUGGAACUGCAUCGGAAACUGUCAUUCUUGAGUGCAGAAGAGGAGAGUGGAACUCCAUGUGUAGCGGUGGAAUGCGUAGAUAUAUGGAAGAACACCAGUGGCGAAGGCGGCUCUCUGGUCUGCAACUGACGCUGAGGCUCGAAAGCAUGGGUAGCGAACAGGAUUAGAUACCCUGGUAGUCCGUGCCGUAAACGAUGAGCGCUAGG